CCUGGAGAUAGCUGGGUCUCUCCGAAAUAGCUUUAGGGCUAGCCUCAAGUGAUGAUUAUUGGAGGUAGAGCACUGUUUGGACGAGGGGCCCCUCUCGGGUUACCGAAUUCAGACAAACUCCGAAUGCCAAUUAAUUUAACUUGGGAGUCAGAACAUGGGUGAUAAGGUCCGUGUUCGAAAGGGAAACAGCCCAGACCACCAGCUAAGGUCCCAAAAUAUAUGUUAAGUGGAAAAGGAUGUGGCGUUGCCCAGACAACUAGGAUGUUGGCUUAGAAGCAGCCAUCAUUUAAAGAGUGCGUAAUAGCUCACUAGUCGAGUGACACUGCGCCGAAAAUGUACCGGGGCUAAACAUAUUACCGAAGCUGUGGAUUGUCCUUUGGACAAUGGUAGGAGAGCGUUCUAAGGGCGUUGAAGCAUGAUCGUAAGGACAUGUGGAGCGCUUAGAAGUGAGAAUGCCGGUGUGAGUAGCGAAAGACGGGUGAGAAUCCCGUCCACCGAUUGACUAAGGUUUCCAGAGGAAGGCUCGUCCGCUCUGGGUUAGUCGGGUCCUAAGCUGAGGCCGACAGGCGUAGGCGAUGGAUAACAGGUUGAUAUUCCUGUACCACCUAUAAUCGUUUUAAUCGAUGGGGGGACGCAGUAGGAUAGGCGAAGCGUGCGAUUGGAUUGCACGUCUAAGCAGUAAGGCUGAGUAUUAGGCAAAUCCGGUACUCGUUAAGGCUGAGCUGUGAUGGGGAGAAGACAUUGAGUCUUCGAGUCGUUGAUUUCACACUGCCGAGAAAAGCCUCUAGAUAGAAAAUAGGUGCCCGUACCGCAAACCGACACAGGUAGUCAAGAUGAGAAUUCUAAGGUGAGCGAGCGAACUCUCGUUAAGGAACUCGGCAAAAUGACCCCGUAACUUCGGGAGAAGGGGUGCUCUUUAGGGUUAACGCCCAGAAGAGCCGCAGUGAAUAGGCCCAAGCGACUGUUUAUCAAAAACACAGGUCUCUGCUAAACCGUAAGGUGAUGUAUAGGGGCUGACGCCUGCCCGGUGCUGGAAGGUUAAGAGGAGUGGUUAGCUUCUGCGAAGCUACGAAUCGAAGCCCCAGUAAACGGCGGCCGUAACUAUAACGGUCCUAAGGUAGCGAAAUUCCUUGUCGGGUAAGUUCCGACCCGCACGAAAGGCGUAACGAUUUGGGCACUGUCUCAACGAGAGACUCGGUGAAAUCAUAGUACCUGUGAAGAUGCAGGUUACCCGCGACAGGACGGAAAGACCCCGUGGAGCUUUACUGUAGCCUGAUAUUGAAAUUCGGCACAGCUUGUACAGGAUAGGUAGGAGCCUUUGAAACGUGAGCGCUAGCUUACGUGGAGGCGCUGGUGGGAUACUACCCUAGCUGUGUUGGCUUUCUAACCCGCACCACUUAUCGUGGUGGGAGACAGUGUCAGGCGGGCAGUUUGACUGGGGCGGUCGCCUCCUAAAAGGUAACGGAGGCGCUCAAAGGUUCCCUCAGAAUGGUUGGAAAUCAUUCAUAGAGUGUAAAGGCAUAAGGGAGCUUGACUGCGAGACCUACAAGUCGAGCAGGGUCGAAAGACGGACUUAGUGAUCCGGUGGUUCCGCAUGGAAGGGCCAUCGCUCAACGGAUAAAAGCUACCCCGGGGAUAACAGGCUUAUCUCCCCCAAGAGUUCACAUCGACGGGGAGGUUUGGCACCUCGAUGUCGGCUCAUCGCAUCCUGGGGCUGUAGUCGGUCCCAAGGGUUGGGCUGUUCGCCCAUUAAAGCGGUACGCGAGCUGGGUUCAGAACGUCGUGAGACAGUUCGGUCCCUAUCCGUCGUGGGCGUAGGAAAUUUGAGAGGAGCUGUCCUUAGUACGAGAGGACCGGGAUGGACAUACCUCUGGUGUACCAGUUGUCGUGCCAACGGCAUAGCUGGGUAGCUAUGUGUGGACGGGAUAAGUGCUGAAAGCAUCUAAGCAUGAAGCCCCCCUCAAGAUGAGAUUUCCCAACUUCGGUUAU
RNAcentral lists this ribosomal RNA (1989 nucleotides) under Staphylococcus aureus subsp. aureus CIGC340D. Its description in RNAcentral is "bacterial LSU rRNA". It matches the Rfam family "Bacterial large subunit ribosomal RNA", at positions 838 to 2830 of the family's 2925-position model. The record is from RNAcentral. Lineage: Bacteria; Bacillati; Bacillota; Bacilli; Caryophanales; Staphylococcaceae.